This 641-nucleotide ribosomal RNA is filed under the name Salmonella enterica subsp. enterica serovar Enteritidis. RNAcentral describes it as "partial 23S ribosomal RNA". It matches the Rfam family "Bacterial large subunit ribosomal RNA", at positions 570 to 1213 of the family's 2925-position model. Lineage: Bacteria; Pseudomonadati; Pseudomonadota; Gammaproteobacteria; Enterobacterales; Enterobacteriaceae. The record is from RNAcentral.
GCAGUGGGAGCACCCUUUGGGUGUGACUGCGUACCUUUUGUAUAAUGGGUCAGCGACUUAUAUUCUGUAGCAAGGUUAACCGAAUAGGGGAGCCGGAGGGAAACCGAGUCUUAACCGGGCGUUAAGUUGCAGGGUAUAGACCCGAAACCCGGUGAUCUAGCCAUGGGCAGGUUGAAGGUUGGGUAACACUAACUGGAGGACCGAACCGACUAAUGUUGAAAAAUUAGCGGAUGACCUGUGGCUGGGGGUGAAAGGCCAAUCAAACCGGGAGAUAGCUGGUUCUCCCCGAAAGCUAUUUAGGUAGCGCCUCGUGAAUUCAUCUCCGGGGGUAGAGCACUGUUUCGGCUAGGGGGCCAUCCCGGCUUACCAACCCGAUGCAAACUGCGAAUACCGGAGAAUGUUAUCACGGGAGACACACGGCGGGUGCUAACGUCCGUCGUGAAGAGGGAAACAACCCAGACCGCCAGCUAAGGUCCCAAAGUCAUGGUUAAGUGGGAAACGAUGUGGGAAGGCCCAGACAGCCAGGAUGUUGGCUUAGAAGCAGCCAUCAUUUAAAGAAAGCGUAAUAGCUCACUGGUCGAGUCGGCCUGCGCGGAAGAUGUAACGGGGCUAAACCAUGCACCGAAGCUGCGGCAGCGACA